This 330-nucleotide non-coding RNA is filed under the name Gossypium arboreum. Its description in RNAcentral is "Bacterial small subunit ribosomal RNA". It matches the Rfam family "Bacterial small subunit ribosomal RNA", at positions 874 to 1148 of the family's 1533-position model. The record is from Rfam by way of RNAcentral. Lineage: Eukaryota; Viridiplantae; Streptophyta; Magnoliopsida; Malvales; Malvaceae.
UGGGGAGUACGUUCGCAAGAAUGAAACUCAAUGGAAUUGACGGGGGCCCGCACAAGCGGUGGAGCAUGUGAUUUAAUUCGAUGCAAAGCGAAGAACCUUACCAGGGCUUGACAUGCCGCGAAUCCUCUUGAAAGAGAGGGGUGCCUUCGGGAACGCGGACACAGGUGGUGCACAUCACUGCAGCUGAGGCAUCCUAACAGACCGAUAGACUUGAAUCUUGUUCCUACAUGACCAUAUCAAUUCGAUCAGGCACUCACCAUCUAUUUUCAUUGUUCAACUCUUUGACAACACGAAAAAUCCAUUGUUCAACUCUUUGACAACAUGAAAAAA